UAUUAAAUGGACUUUGUCUGGAUAUGGUC
Molecule: non-coding RNA, 29 nt
Filed under: Mus musculus (house mouse)
Lineage: Eukaryota; Metazoa; Chordata; Mammalia; Rodentia; Muridae
Source: RNAcentral